RNAcentral lists this ribosomal RNA (460 nucleotides) under uncultured bacterium. RNAcentral describes it as "partial 16S ribosomal RNA". It matches the Rfam family "Bacterial small subunit ribosomal RNA", at positions 338 to 795 of the family's 1533-position model. The record is from RNAcentral.
CCUACGGGAGGCAGCAGUGAGGAAUAUUGGUCAAUGGGCGUAAGCCUGAACCAGCCAAGUCGCGUGAGGGAUGAAGGUUCUAUGGAUCGUAAACCUCUUUUAUAAGGGAAUAAAGUGCGGGACGUGUCCCGUUUUGUAUGUACCUUAUGAAUAAGGAUUGGCUAACUCCGUGCCAGCAGCCGCGGUAAUACGGAGGGUCCGAGCGUUUACCGGAUUUAUUGGGUUUAAAGGGUGCGUAGGCGGCCUAUUAAGGCAGGGGGUAAAGUUUGGGGGCCAAACCUAGGCUUGCCGUUGAAACUGGGUGGCUUGAGUAGGUGUGAGGCAGGCGGAAUGCGUGGUGUAGCGGUGAAAUGCAUAGAUAUCACGCAGAACCCCGAUUGCGAAGGCAGCCUGCCAGGCCAUGACUGACGCUGAUGCACGAAAGCGUGGGGAUCGAACAGGAUUAGAUACCCCUGUAGUC